This is a long non-coding RNA of Exaiptasia diaphana, 267 nucleotides long. RefSeq lists it as uncharacterized. The record is from RefSeq and is a predicted model, not a curated record. The transcript is spliced from 3 exons. NCBI's taxonomy places the organism in Eukaryota, Metazoa, Cnidaria, Anthozoa, Actiniaria, Aiptasiidae.
UGAAUGAAGGCUGAAUGAAGAUAGGAAGUCAUUACCUGAUUACCUUAAUCAGUGAUCCACCUGAAAAAAAAAAAAAGCGAGAAAGAUGUUCAUGAUAAAGAUUUGUUUGGUUCUUGUGACGGUCGUGGCCRUCAAUGCAGCACCCAUGCAKGACUGUGAACGGAAAKUUUUACAGGAUCGCUUCAUAAAAAAUUACGUAGAUMAAAUCAGUAAAAACUGGACUUUCUGCAAAGAGUUGAAGUUCAUUCUCSAUGCAUUGUUGMACUC